This 57-nucleotide transfer RNA is filed under the name Pseudidiomarina tainanensis. RNAcentral describes it as "Idiomarina tainanensis tRNA-Arg". Lineage: Bacteria; Pseudomonadati; Pseudomonadota; Gammaproteobacteria; Alteromonadales; Idiomarinaceae. The record is from RNAcentral.
GAACCCGAGACUGCCCUCCGGAGGCAGAGGUCACAGGUUCGACUCCUGUCGGGUGCG